CUAUUCCCUACAUAGUGCAGUACCCUAUGGGCUCUGGUCAAUAGUAGUGCACUACAUAGGGAAUAGGGAGGCAUUUGGUACACAGACAUAGUUUCCUCUGUCCUGUCAAAGCUAUUCUAUAAUCAGCAGAGCGUGUCCCUCCCCUCAAAGAGUAGGAAGACAUUAUUCAAGCUUCCUCCUUCUGAUCUUGGGCCCACAACAAACCGUGUAGUCCAUGGCUGACUGGUUAAAGGGAAAAGACAGGAACACAAUGUGCCCCUGUCACCAACGACCAACCAACGGCAGAUACAGCCAUAGAAACAGAAUUACUAGAACACUCGGGAAUCCCCCAUUCAAGUCAAUGAUGCCAUGAUGGUUUCCCAGCGCGGCGACCGGAAUUGGGAAUGCUUUCAAUUUCCUCUGCCUCCUACCGCCUGGAGCCUAGCUGCUUGUCAGUGUCCAUAGGGGGGGAAAGGACCAGGACCUGCCACGCGUAUGGGAGCCCCACAUCUCACAGCCAGCCUCUGUCUGUAUGUGUCCCAACUGGCACCCUAUUCCCUAUAUAGUGCACUACAUUUGAUCAAAAGGUGUGCACUACAUAGGGAAUAGGGUGCCAUUUGUAACACAGUCAUUGUGUCCACAGGCCUCCUGCCUGUCCCGAGCCUGCCUCCUCCUGUCUCCUCCUGCAUCUAUGAAACCAACAGUUUAUUCUCUAGCAGCAGGGCCUGGAGCAAGCUCCGAGGGGGAGCAUUGUACGGCAUUACCAAGACAAUGGUGCCAUAUGGGGAACAGAAGGAUCUCCUGCUCAGUCUAUUCAGCGCGGAAAGGCUGCGGAGCAAACGCCAAUCCACGUAUGCAUGGCAGCGGUCACUUCAAGGUUACACUUUUUAGCAUAACAACUGAAUGAAAAAGUGAAAAGUCAUUUUAUUCCCAUUUAGGGCUAUUAUUGGCGUGGAGCGGGUUGGAGGAAAGGGGGGGGGGGUGUAUUGGUCCUUAACAAUACGAGUCACAGUCAACAGACUGGCUGGGGCUCACAGAGGGAGUGAUAAUGGGCUUGUAUCAUGUUCAUCAAAUCUACAUCCAGUCAAAGGGAGUGCCACGCUGGUUUGUGUAUGUUGACUCUGGGACACAGUGAUUGUGUCUACAUUAUUGUAAACGUAGGUCAGCAAUGCAUAAAGGGAGCAUUGCUAUUUAAACACCACUAUAUCUAUUUUUUAUUCUAAAAAUAAAAUGUGUGUGUGUUUUUUUAAUCUUGUUGACAAAUCCUAAAGAUAGAAAUAUCUAUUUUGUUUAUUUUCCAUGAGGUUUCAAAAAUAGACUUUGGACUGUGACGUCACGUCCAAGUCAAGGCGGCAAUAUGAUCCAAUAAUAAAUAAUAAAUAAUAAA
Molecule: non-coding RNA, 1366 nt
Organism: Salmo salar (Atlantic salmon)
Lineage: Eukaryota; Metazoa; Chordata; Actinopteri; Salmoniformes; Salmonidae
Source: RefSeq, a predicted model, not a curated record